RNAcentral lists this ribosomal RNA (396 nucleotides) under uncultured Lactobacillus sp. RNAcentral's name for it is "bacterial SSU rRNA". It matches the Rfam family "Bacterial small subunit ribosomal RNA", at positions 73 to 449 of the family's 1533-position model. Lineage: Bacteria; Bacillati; Bacillota; Bacilli; Lactobacillales; Lactobacillaceae. The record is from RNAcentral.
GGAGUGCUUGCACUCUGUGAAACAAGAUACAGGCUAGCGGCGGACGGGUGAGUAACACGUGGGUAACCUGCCCAAGAGAUCGGGAUAACACCUGGAAACAGAUGCUAAUACCGGAUAACAACAGAUGAUGCCUAUCAACUGUUUAAAAGAUGGUUCUGCUAUCACUCUUGGAUGGACCUGCGGUGCAUUAGCUAGUUGGUAGGGUAACGGCCUACCAAGGCGAUGAUGCAUAGCCGAGUUGAGAGACUGAUCGGCCACAUUGGGACUGAGACACGGCCCAAACUCCUACGGGAGGCGGCAGUAGGGAAUCUUCCACAAUGGACGCAAGUCUGAUGGAGCAACGCCGCGUGAGUGAAGAAGGGUUUCGGCUCGUAAAGCUCUGUUGUUGGUGAAGAA